GCUGUAAAAAAUGCAGAGAUACUUGCAAUCUUGCAUUUUUUGCUGCUAUUGUUAAUUUGACAGCAUUGUUAUUGAAACAUAGAUGUGGAAGGGAUCUAUUUGGGUCAUUGGGUCUGACCCACUGCUCUUGCAGCCAACAUCAGUAUAUACGUAUAAUCCCCUCCAUAAAAACUGAAGAAAAUCUAAGUAGCUGGGAGUAGUCAGACUAAAAACCUAUCCAAAGUUUUUCUUUAGAAUUUUAAUGCUGUAAUUGUUACAGACCUUUAUCUAAUUUGCGAGUUAAUUUUUUCUUUAUCUUUUUUUACUAGAUAGUAUUGUAUUAAUAUUUACUGUGAAAGGAUUAAAUUAACAGAGGGAUAUUGUAACAAUUUGUGAAUCCAGUUAAAUUCUCCAGAGCAGAGCAUACUGUGCCAAUACAAAUAUUUGCAUGGUACUAAAAAUUAAUGUAUGUGGAAGAGCAUAAAUCAAGUAAUUCACUGUGAAUUUUUAAAACUUCCACAUGACUUUCACAUCUCGCUCAAGGAAUGUAAAAAAUACAUUGGUAUUAAUCUCUGAAAGUGCAACCAGACACAUUGUUCAAGUGCUAUAGGUUAUAUUUUAAAAACCAUAGUGAUAGAAAUUACUAUUUUUUUGCUAUUUUCAUUCAUGAAAAGCCAGUGUAAAUUAUUAUUUUUAUAGAGGCUUGGAAAUUAACUGUAAAUAGUUUUGAAAGAUUGGAAAUAUAUAAAUAUGCAUAUAUGAAAGCCUACUCACCCUGUGAUGUAGCAAUGGCCAAGUCCUGCACAUACUGUGCCUCUUUCACAAACCAUGCGGGCACAGUAGGACAGGGAAUUUCUGAUCUGUGAGGGUAGGCACUUCUGCAGGCUUGUAGGGAAGAUAUCUAUCUUGAUUUCUGAAAGCAAUAUGGUAGUCCUGAAAUACAGGCUAGACUUUCUCUGAGGGGUUCCUUAACCUUUUUUUUCCCUAACUCAGGGAAAGUGAGUCAUGGGAUUUGCUGGAGUUUAUCCAUCGCACUUCGGCUCUCACAUUGUGCAGGGGCAAUUGAUACCUUACCUUCCACACUGAGGUAUCUACCAAGACAACAAAAGUAUUGCAGAAGAUUGAUUUCUCUCCUAGAGUCUCUUUGCAACUGACUGACUGUCAGAAAGGGAGAUGUGGGACAGAUUUGAACUGAUUUUUCAACAUUUGGAAAGCAGGCUAUGGAGUGAUGACACACUUCACUUUUGGAUAAAGAAACAAAUGUGAUACAUAUUUUAAAAGUGGAGAGACUGCUCAAAUAAUUGACAAGUCUGACCUCUGGGACUGUCAUCCACUUUAAACACUUCCCUAUUUUGAAACAGCUCACGUAUAUUUUUAUGUUCAUUAGGUAUUCAGAGAGUGCCUUCUUUUCUGCAAGUAGCGGAGAACAGCAAAGAGCGGAGGAUCCCAGACACAGAAUACACUUGUGAUGCAAGAUGAAUUCCUGAGGCAGGAGGUUUGCAGGGAAGAAUAAUGAGUAUUACUCACUAAGAUCACUAAGCAAGUAUUAAAUAUUUUUGGUACAGUAGUGCCUGAAAGCCUCAAUCACACUCCUGUUUAUGAGCACACCUCAUACCUGCAGUGUGAGAACUUCUGAGGAGCAUCCUGUGCUCUGAAAAGACAAGGUAACCAGCAAACAAAACUUCCACUACUACUGUCCACCUGGGAGGGAGCCUCAAAGACAUCCAGUGAGGACAGCUCUGUCUGCAGUGAUGGAGAUAUGCAGGGCUGUGAAGGAGCAAGAUUCACGAUGGGAACAGUUCCAGGCAUGGAGGAAGAUAUACAGCAAUUGACAGGACUUUAUUAUAUGGACUUUACAGUUUUUAUGUGCUUAUAAAUACACACAUUGUAUGUUGCCCCUAUACUUAUAUUCCCGGGCGUGCCAAGGCAUGCCUGCUUCCCUGUUCCCUGCUUCCCCGCUCCCCUCUCUGAUUGGCCGGAGAAGCUGCAGAGAGGAGACAUCCACCAUUCGCCCUUUCCUUCCCCGGCUCCUCCCACGUUCCUCCUCCUUUUGCCUGUGUCCCUAUCCCGAUUUGUUCCCCCGUUUGUCUGUCUCAUGCUUCACUCCAUGUUCUGGCCCUUUCCCCGCCUGAACUGAUAAAAAAUCAAUAAAGCAUUCCAUCUGCACCCCUACCUUGUCUCCGGACCCAUCCGUGCUAUGUCAUGGCCCCAUCCCCCCUCGGACCGUGGCACAGGGCUGCAGAAAGGCCUGAUAACUACAUCUUGCCCUGUGCACCCACUAGUGAAACUGAAUCUGACAAUUGCACGUGUGUAUAUGUUGAUAAAUCACGAUGGGAAAUAGAUGAAGAUUCUUGUUUUGCACAUUUGUUUUCUUCCCGACCAGUAUCUGCUCUUCUGGUUGCACUGCUGAGGUGCUUCAGUUUAGCUUUUGAUGAUGAAAGAAUCAGAGAUUGCAUGAAACAGCUAUUCUGCUCUGAGCUCCCUGUCACUGAAUGGACUGUUGUGGGGGAACCUAUGUCCACAGGAGGAGUGUUUUAAGAUUCCAUCUGUAUAGCUUAGGCUGAGCUCUGAUUUAAAAUUGGCUCUUAGCACAACACAAGUCCAAAAAUAGAUUAAGUGUAUUUAUUCAUACUUUAGCUGAAAUUAACAUGUCCAAACCAUCUUUGUUAUAAAAGUGUAACAAAAACUGUAUUUCAUUUGCUGCAUACUGUUGCCCUAUCUAAGUGCAAUUGAUUUCUGGUUUACAAAAACAAAACUAAACAAAAAAACUAAUAAGAGCCAGUAUCAACACAAUUGUCCUAAUGCAACAUGUUCAUAGCAAGGAAUCAAUUAAAAAGUAGUGUCAGAGAGAAUACACCGAAAACUUUUUUCCCUGUGAGUUUACUAGUAAUUUAAGCUACAGUAAAAAUAGAUUAGUCUUGCUUCAUUUACGUUCAAGCAUCUUCUAGUGAGAAAUUUCUUUCAUUUUAUUUUCUUUUCUUUUUUUCCUUUUUUUUUUGCCCCUGUAUUUUCCUCAGUUUGGGUUAUUAAGCUUUCUGGACAGAAGCUUCAAAGUCUUCAGUCUGAAAAACAUUCUACUGAAGUAACUGUUAAAUCCCACUGCUUUACCACAGUAGAUUCUGUAGACUCUGUAGAACUGAGAUUCCAACUGCAACUGUAUUCCAAUCUCACUGGAGGGAAUACAUAUGAAGUAGGGUGGAAGGGCAGAUGAAGAGAAAGACAGCUUUUGUGUUGUGUGGUUUAUUGGCUUCAGAGUUUUUCAGAUGACAUUUUAAAAAAAAAAUCAUCUUUGGUUUCAAGGUGCUUUAAUGGUUUGUUUCUUAAACAGGGGAAAUCUACAAUAUUUCUGAAAGUGGUCUGAAAAUGCUGAAGAAAAGAGGGAGGGAGAAAGGGAGACUAUGGCUUAUCUUAUAAAUACACUUCAGGUUGAUGUUUUAGCACAUACCCAAAUCUAUAGGUCAAUUCUAAGCCUUUAGCAUUAGUAUUUGAACAUCUUGCUGUUUCUGAACCAUAGUACUCUGAGUAUUGUAAUCAACUCAACUAAUCUGAACUUAAAAUUCUUUUUUGAUCUCAUAAAAUCAGUUCUCAAGAAAUACUAGAAUGCAGAGCACAGGUGAAGACUGUGAUCAAAAACUACUAUUAAAGGAUAUGAAGAUUGUUGAAAUUCAUGACAUGCUUUAUGAAAGGUGUAAAACAUAACAAAACAAACAACUCUACUGCCAAGCCUGUUCCGUUUGUUUUAAAUAAAGCGCCUAUUUUUGAGAUAGACUAUAAUAUUGAGUGUCCUCACAAGUGUGGCUUCCUUCUAAGUUAAUUUCUGUUGUUACAAUAUGAAGGUAUGUAUGUUAAAUU
Long non-coding RNA from Pseudopipra pipra, 3831 nucleotides. RefSeq lists it as uncharacterized. The record is from RefSeq and is a predicted model, not a curated record. Lineage: Eukaryota; Metazoa; Chordata; Aves; Passeriformes; Pipridae. The transcript is spliced from 3 exons.